Molecule: ribosomal RNA, 379 nt
Filed under: uncultured bacterium
Lineage: Bacteria
Description: bacterial SSU rRNA
Rfam family: Bacterial small subunit ribosomal RNA
Source: RNAcentral
UAAUACGUAGGGGCCUAGCGUUGUCCGGAUUUAUUGGGCGUAAAGAGCUCGUAGGCGGUUUGGUUAGUCAGGUGUGAAAUCUCCACGCUCAACGUGGAGGGGCCACCUGAUACUGCCAUGACUUGAGUCCGGUAGGGGAGUGUGGAAUUCCCGGUGUAGCGGUGAAAUGCGCAGAUAUCGGGAGGAACACCCGUAGCGAAGGCGGCACUCUGGGCCGUGACUGACGCUGAGGAGCGAAAGCGUGGGGAGCAAACAGGAUUAGAUACCCUGGUAGUCCACGCCGUAAACGUUGGGCACUAGGUGUGGGACUCUAUCGACGGGUUCCGUGCCGUAGCUAACGCAUUAAGUGCCCCGCCUGGGGAGUACGGCCGCAAGGCUA